GUGCCAGCCGCCGCGGUAAUACGGAGGGUGCAAGCGUUAUCCGGAAUCACUGGGCGUAAAGGGCGCGUAGGCGGUCUGCUAAGUCCGAUGUUAAAGACCGGGGCUCAACCCCGACACGGCGUUGGAUACUGGCAGGCUUGACGACUGGAGAGGUGAGUGGAAUUACCAGUGUAGCGGUGGAAUGCGUAGAUACUGGUAGGAACACCCAUUGCGAAGGCAGCUCACUGGACAGUUUGUGACGCUGAGGCGCGAAAGUGUGGGGAGCAAACCGGAUUAGAUACCCGGGUAGUCCACACCCUAAACGAUGCAUACUUGGUGUCGGCCCGUUGGGGUCGGCGCCGGAGUUAACGCGUUAAGUAUGCCGCCUGGGAAGUACGGCCGCAAGGUUGAAACUUAAAUGAAUUGACGGGG
RNAcentral lists this ribosomal RNA (411 nucleotides) under uncultured prokaryote. RNAcentral's name for it is "bacterial SSU rRNA". It matches the Rfam family "Bacterial small subunit ribosomal RNA", at positions 505 to 918 of the family's 1533-position model. The record is from RNAcentral.